Molecule: ribosomal RNA, 797 nt
Filed under: uncultured bacterium
Lineage: Bacteria
Description: bacterial SSU rRNA
Rfam family: Bacterial small subunit ribosomal RNA
Source: RNAcentral
AGAGUUUGAUCAUGGCUCAGAACGAACGUUAGCGGUGUGGAUUAGGCAUGCAAGUCGCGCGCGAAAACCUUCGGGUGAGUAAAGCGGCGAAAGGGUGAGUAACACGUAACCAAUCUACCCCCUAGACCGGAAUAACCACUGGAAACGGUGGAUAAUGCUGGAUGUUCCUGGCGCGAGGCAUCUCGUGCUUGGCAAACGGUGGCGCAAGCUGCUGCUAUGGGAGGAGGUUGCGGGCUAUCAGCUAGUUGGUGAGGUAACGGCUCACCAAGGCGAUGACGGCUACCGGGUCUGAGAGGACGGUCCGGCACACUGGGACUGAGACACUGCCCAGACUCCUACGGGAGGCUGCAGUCGAGAAUCUUCCGCAAUGGGCGAAAGCCUGACGGAGCGACACCGCGUGCAGGAUGAAGGCCUUCGGGUUGUAAACUGCUGUCACGCUUUAGGAAUGGCCUGACGUUAAUAGCGUCAGGAGUGACCAAGGCGAAAGGAAGCACCGGCUAACUCUGUGCCAGCAGCCGCGGUAAGACAGAGGAUGCAAACGUUGUUCGGAAUUACUGGGCAUAAAGCGCACGUAGGUGGUCCACUAAGUCGAGUGUGAAAUACCCCGGCUCAACCGGGGAAUUGCGCUCGAUACUGGUGGGCUAGAGGUCGGUAGGGGUGAGCGGAACUCCAGGCGGAGCGGUGAAAUGCGUAGAUAUCUGGAGGAACACCGGUGGCGAAAGCGGCUCACUGGAUCGAAUCUGACACUGAGGUGCGAAAGCUAGGGUAGCAAACGGGAUUAGAUACCCUAGUAGUCC